ACCUGGCUCACGCCGGUUUAAACUCAGAUCAUGUAAAAUUUUAAAGGUCGAACAGACCCAAUUUAUUAGCUUCUACACCAAUAAUUUCUUUUAAUCCAACAUCGAGGUCGCAAUCUUUUUUUUUAAUUUGAACUCUAAAAAAAAAUUACGCUGUUAUCCCUAAGGUAAUUUUAUCUUAUAAUCUUAACUUAAGGAUCAAUUUUUCAUUUAUAAAUGGUUUAAUACAAAAAAAGUUUAUUUAAUUUUUCAAUCACC
This 255-nucleotide ribosomal RNA is filed under the name Thyestetha lubrica. RNAcentral describes it as "partial 16S ribosomal RNA". The record is from RNAcentral. Lineage: Eukaryota; Metazoa; Arthropoda; Insecta; Coleoptera; Curculionidae.